AAAGCAGCCGAUCUCCCUUCCCUGCCUCUCUCGGUGGCUUUGGGCAGCGUUACCCCACCGGUGUUGCGUAGGGUCGGGGGAUUGCACGGGGAACCCCUGCCCGGUGCGUUGGUGCUGCAGAUGGCGGUGGUGUCGCCGACGCUGCGGGUGUCCCCGAGGCGUUCUCACCUCCUGGUGGCAGUGCCAGCCCGGCCCGAGGCGGGGUGCGGCAGUGGUUCUGCCCUACAGGCCGUCCCCGUGAAAAGCACCUUAGGAUCAGCCUGAAGUGAAGGCGCAUCCUCGGCGGGCCGGGAUGAGUCACGGCGGCGGCAGCAGCGCUGGAAGAGCAUCAGCACACGAUCCCCCCCGAGGCUCCGCGGCUCCGCAUCGCCCUCCGCCAGCGGUUCCGCUCCGCACGCACGCAGCUCUCUGCCCUCGGGAAAUGCCACGUCCUCCUGCCAGGUGGAGGAGCAGCGAGGUGGGCGCCGGCCCAGCAGGUGACAGUGGGACCGCAGCGCCGCAGCCCCAAACCGACCCCCUCCAUCCCCCCCUCGUAACGCAGGAGCUCAGCGCCACGGUCCUCAAGCAGCAGCGGUUAACUCCCUGAUUACACACCCUGCACGGCCAGGCCGCUUUGAGGAGUGCAAUUAAUUAACGUUUGCAUCCCUGGCGCUUGCUGACCCUGCCAGACUCGGAGCAAAUCGGCCUCUGCCGACGGGUAAUGGGUUUGCUGCAGGACGAGCUAUUUCCGAGCCGGCUUUGGAAGUCAUUUGGGGUGGCUGCCGGGCGGUGCAGCCCCGUGUUGGCUGCUGGGGCUCAUCCGGAGCUCGGGGCAAUGGGGCAAUGGGGCAGAGGUGCAGAGGGAGCAAAGCAGAGCUGUGGGGUCAGCGUGGGUCGUGCUGGGGUGCUGCUCUGGGGGCAAUGCAGGCGGGCUGGAAAGCACACACAGGUUUCCCUUGCGCAGCACAAACCCCAUCGCGUGGGUGGCACGGGUGGGAGGCAGAGGAUGCGGGGACGGGACAUGGGGGUGAGCUCCCAGCCCAGAGAGGGGCAAACCCCAAUAAACGAAUGGGC
This 1053-nucleotide long non-coding RNA is filed under the name Gallus gallus (chicken). RNAcentral's name for it is "lncRNA (ENSGALG00010018136.1)". The record is from RNAcentral. Lineage: Eukaryota; Metazoa; Chordata; Aves; Galliformes; Phasianidae.